Molecule: non-coding RNA, 23 nt
Filed under: Arabidopsis thaliana (thale cress)
Lineage: Eukaryota; Viridiplantae; Streptophyta; Magnoliopsida; Brassicales; Brassicaceae
Source: RNAcentral
AAACGCAGUCACCAUUCAGAGCC